ACUCCUACGGGAGGCAGCAGUGGGGAAUUUUGGACAAUGGGGGCAACCCUGAUCCAGCAAUGCCGCGUGAGUGAAGAAGGCCUUCGGGUUGUAAAGCUCUUUUGUCAGGGAAGAAACGGUGGUGGCGAAUAACUACUACUAAUGACGGUACCUGAAGAAUAAGCACCGGCUAACUACGUGCCAGCAGCCGCGGUAAUACGUAGGGUGCAAGCGUUAAUCGGAAUUACUGGGCGUAAAGCGUGCGCAGGCGGUUGUGUAAGUCAGAUGUGAAAUCCCCGGGCUCAACCUGGGAAUUGCAUUUGAGACUGCACGGCUAGAGUGUGUCAGAGGGGGGUAGAAUUCCACGUGUAGCAGUGAAAUGCGUAGAUAUGUGGAGGAAUACCGAUGGCGAAGGCAGCCCCCUGGGAUAACACUGACGCUCAUGCACGAAAGCGUGGGGAGCAAACAGGAUUAGAAACCCCAGUAGUCCCAUGAU
This 475-nucleotide ribosomal RNA is filed under the name uncultured organism. RNAcentral describes it as "partial 16S ribosomal RNA". It matches the Rfam family "Bacterial small subunit ribosomal RNA", at positions 335 to 801 of the family's 1533-position model. The record is from RNAcentral.